AUUGAACGCUGGCGGCAGGCCUAACACAUGCAAGUCGAGCGGAUGAAGGGAGCUUGCUCCUGGAUUCAGCGGCGGACGGGUGAGUAAUGCCUAGGAAUCUGCCUGGUAGUGGGGGAUAACGUCCGCAAACGGGCGCUAAUACCGCAUACGUCCUGUGGGAGAAAGAGGGGGUUCUUCGGACUUCACGCUAUCAGAUAUGCAUCGGUCGGAUUAGCUAGUUGGUGGGGUCAAGGCCUACCAAGGCGACGAUCCGUAACUGGUCUGAGAGGAAGAUCAGUCACACUGGAACUGAGACACGGUCCAGACGCCUACGGGAGGCAGCAGUGGGGAAUAUUGGACAAUGCGCGAAAGCCUGAUCCAGCCAUGCCGCGUGUGUGAAGAAGGUCUUCGGAUUGUAAAGCACUUUAAGUUGGGAGGAAGGGCAGUAAGUUAAUACCUUGCUGUUUUGACGUUACCAACAGAAUAAGCACCGGCUAACUUCGUG
This 484-nucleotide ribosomal RNA is filed under the name uncultured bacterium. RNAcentral's name for it is "partial 16S ribosomal RNA". It matches the Rfam family "Bacterial small subunit ribosomal RNA", at positions 30 to 507 of the family's 1533-position model. The record is from RNAcentral.